RNAcentral lists this long non-coding RNA (327 nucleotides) under Gossypium raimondii (Peruvian cotton). RNAcentral describes it as "long non-coding RNA (GRAI_LNC005594)". The record is from RNAcentral. Lineage: Eukaryota; Viridiplantae; Streptophyta; Magnoliopsida; Malvales; Malvaceae.
CUCAUAUAGGUUUGAAUAAAAUUAUGGAGCAAACAACAUGCAAUAAUGAUUCUAUUGUGCACCCUUAGAUGAUAGAAUGAUGGACUCCUAAGCAUUCCCCAUCUAAGUUUUAAUAACCCAAAACAUCUUUCAAUAACAUUACGUGCUGAAGCAUGUUUCAUAUUGAAAAAUUCUUCCGGAGUACUUAGCUGGUAACCUUGACGCCACUCAUUCAAAUGAUAUCUUUGUCCUCUAAAAGGUGCAAGAAAUCUUUUACAAUUUGUGUAUCCAGCAUCAACUAGAUAAUAACAACCUAUAAAAAAAACUAUUUGUCAUGGUUAAUUUCCC